RNAcentral lists this ribosomal RNA (500 nucleotides) under uncultured bacterium. RNAcentral's name for it is "partial 16S ribosomal RNA". It matches the Rfam family "Bacterial small subunit ribosomal RNA", at positions 28 to 507 of the family's 1533-position model. The record is from RNAcentral.
GACGAACGCUGGCGGCGUGCUUAACACAUGCAAGUCGAACGGGUCUGCCCUGUUUUUUGCGGGGUGGGUCAGUGGCGAACGGGUGAGUAACACGUGAGUAACCUGCCCCUCACUUCUGGAUAACCGCUUGAAAGGGUGGCUAAUACGGGGUGUUCUGGCUGUGCCGCAUGGUGUGGCUGGGAAAGAUUCACUUUUGUGGUGUUUUGGUGGGGGAUGGGCUCGCGGCCUAUCAGCUUGUUGGUGGGGUGAUGGCCUGCCAAGGCUUUGACGGGUAGCCGGCCUGAGAGGGUGGGCGGUCACACUGGGACUGAGAUGCGGCCCAGACUCCUGCAGGAGGCAGCAGUGGGGGGUAUUGCACAAUGGGCGGAAGCCUGAUGCAGCGACGUCGCGUGAGGGAUGGAGGCCUUCGGGUUGUGAACCUCUUUCGCCGGUGAAGAAGGUCCUGCUCUUUGUGGUGGGGUUGACGGUAGCCGGGUUAUGAAGCGCCGGCUAACUACGUG